This 481-nucleotide ribosomal RNA is filed under the name uncultured bacterium. Its description in RNAcentral is "partial 16S ribosomal RNA". It matches the Rfam family "Bacterial small subunit ribosomal RNA", at positions 28 to 507 of the family's 1533-position model. The record is from RNAcentral.
GAUGAACGCUGGCGGCGUGCUUAACACAUGCAAGUCGAACGAAGCACUUUAUUUGAUUUCCUUCGGGACUGAUUAUUUUGUGACUGAGUGGCGGACGGGUUAGUAACGCGUGGGUAACCUGCCUUGUACAGGGGGAUAACAGUUGGAAACGGCUGCUAAUACCGCAUAAGCGCACAGCAUCGCAUGAUGCAGUGUGAAAAACUCCGGUGGUAUAAGAUGGACCCGCGUUGGAUUAGCUAGUUGGUGAGGUAACGGCCCACCAAGGCGACGAUCCAUAGCCGACCUGAGAGGGUGACCGGCCACAUUGGGACUGAGACACGGCCCAAACUCCUACGGGAGGCAGCAGUGGGGAAUAUUGCACAAUGGGCGAAAGCCUGAUGCAGCGACGCCGCGUGAGCGAAGAAGUAUUUCGGUAUGUAAAGCUCUAUCAGCAGGGAAGAUAAUGACGGUACCUGACGAAGAAGCACCGGCUAAAUACGUG